UAUAAUGUUUAACUCUUCGUCUUAUUAAAAAAUUUACGAUUAAUAAUUUUAUUUAUAUUAGAUGAUAAAAUAUAAAUAGUAUUUUAUGUGUGACUAAUUUUUUUAAAAUUUCUUAAAAAAUUUUCAAAUAAGACGGAUGGUCAAAUGCUCGACAUAAAAACC
Molecule: microRNA precursor, 162 nt
Filed under: Oryza brachyantha (malo sina)
Lineage: Eukaryota; Viridiplantae; Streptophyta; Magnoliopsida; Poales; Poaceae
Description: MIR812 microRNA precursor family
Rfam family: MIR812 microRNA precursor family
Source: Rfam by way of RNAcentral